This 181-nucleotide ribosomal RNA is filed under the name uncultured bacterium. Its description in RNAcentral is "partial 16S ribosomal RNA". It matches the Rfam family "Bacterial small subunit ribosomal RNA", at positions 1322 to 1500 of the family's 1533-position model. The record is from RNAcentral.
GAAGCUGGAGUUGCUAGUAAUCGCGAAUCAGCAUGUCGCGGUGAGUACGUUCCCGGGCCUUGUACACACCGCCCGUCACACCAUGAGAGUUGGCAAUACCCAACGUACGUGAUCUAACCCGCAAGGGAGGAAGCGUCCUAAGGUAGGGUCAGCGAUUGGGGUGAAGUCGUAACAAGGUACC